AAUCAACGCUGGCGGCGUGCCUAACACAUGCAAGUCGAACGCGAGAGGGGGCUUCGGCCCCGAUUGAGUGGCGAACGGGUGAGUAACGCGUGGGUGACCUACCUUCGAGUGGGGGAGUAACGUCCCGAAACGGGACGCUAAUACCGCAUAACAUCCUGCUUUUGUAAUGGGUGGAGAUCAAAGCCGGGGAUCGCAAGACCUGGCGCUUGAUGAGGGGCCCGCGUCUGAUUAGCUAGUUGGGAGGU
RNAcentral lists this ribosomal RNA (245 nucleotides) under uncultured bacterium. Its description in RNAcentral is "partial 16S ribosomal RNA". It matches the Rfam family "Bacterial small subunit ribosomal RNA", at positions 32 to 257 of the family's 1533-position model. The record is from RNAcentral.